RNAcentral lists this long non-coding RNA (260 nucleotides) under Lathyrus oleraceus (garden pea). RNAcentral describes it as "Pisum sativum (pea) long non-coding RNA (PSAT_LNC006909)". The record is from RNAcentral. Lineage: Eukaryota; Viridiplantae; Streptophyta; Magnoliopsida; Fabales; Fabaceae.
UGGAGACGAUUUAGGUCAUUAGAUGUUAUUGGGAAAAGGGCAUUAAAGAGUAGGGUAUGUGAACUAGCAUACCCAACAAUGACUCCAUUGUGUCCACCAUCGAGAGAACUAAAAACCAAAGGAAGAGUGAAGAAGAAAGGGAAAAACCAGCAGAAUAUGAUGUUAUAGGGACCUUCGUAUCAUGAGUAUGUUAAUAAGGAAUCUCAAUCUUCACAAAGGUAAUCUCAACCAUCACAGACUUCGAAGAAGUUAAAAUUAUA